This 316-nucleotide long non-coding RNA is filed under the name Vigna radiata. RNAcentral's name for it is "long non-coding RNA (VRAD_LNC008228)". Lineage: Eukaryota; Viridiplantae; Streptophyta; Magnoliopsida; Fabales; Fabaceae. The record is from RNAcentral.
UUGUAUUGUGGCUGGGCUAUCAAGAAAAAUUGGUUUUUCCGGAAUACAAAAUCCUUGAGUUAAGAGAGUUUAAAUCUUCAUUCAAAGUUCAUGCACACUCUCUUUUUAACCAAUCUCACUCAUUCCCAACUUUUUCCCUUUUUCCUUUUACAUUGUUCAUUGAGUUCACUUUACAUGUUUUUCUCUUUUCUUCUUUUCUUUCCUUUCUCAUGUAUUUUUUUUUUUCAUCUUUUGAACUCAAUGCUUUCCUUUUUCUUUUGCCUUUCACUUUCCCCAUUCAACCCCAAACUUGAACCUUUUCAUCACAUAUAAUUAU